Molecule: long non-coding RNA, 28123 nt
Filed under: Sorghum bicolor (sorghum)
Lineage: Eukaryota; Viridiplantae; Streptophyta; Magnoliopsida; Poales; Poaceae
Description: long non-coding RNA (SBIC_LNC004095)
Source: RNAcentral
CCCCGCUACGCCGCGGGCUUGGUACUUCUGUCCAUGGUGGCAGACGGGCUGAUGCAGUCUUGACUUGCGGUGCCUAUGGGGAAGAGUCGCAUACCCACGAGGUGAUUGGGUUGCGUAGAACGGGGCAAGCAGUGGCAUCCACGAACCAAGUAAGUAUUGCGGAUUUGCUCUGAUAGUUCUCGCAAGCGUCCACCAAUCUGAUUAGGUACUUAAGUUUAUGGAAAAAAAAGUGUUCUGAUUUGAAUUGCGUGGAUUUUAUUUAUUGUGAUUCAGUUCAACGACCUCUGAAACGGGGGAUAACAGCCAUAAGAUUACUUAUCACGAGGCUUUAGAUAUGAUGUGCUGCUAUCUGGAUUUCCAGGACGGCCUCUGGUGAAAAUUUUAAAAGGGACUAGUUAUAUGAUUUAUAUUCUUCUGUCUCUGGAAGAAUCUGGCACUACUGGGAAUAACGCAACUCAAUUUCAAGCAAAAAUUAUGCCUCUUUCCUGGCCUAUUGUACACGAAUGGUAAUGUUCAGCUUCAUCUUAUUCUGACAGCUCUGCUCUGGUAUCUUACUUGAUGCUGCUCGCCAUCCUAAGAUGCAUCAUACCAUAACUCUAGUAUGAAGAAAUGUGUCUCCCUGAGCAAAAAAAUAAGUUAAUAUGUGUACCCAACUUGAUACCAGUUUAGAUGUGCACAUUUGAUUCUAUAAAUUACUAAUACUGGACGUAUAUGGAUAUUAGUAUUUAGUAUUUUAUCUGAAAAAAACUCCCUUUGGGUUUUGCUAUGUAUUAGGUUCUAUGCAAGAUACUAUAAUAAGAUAGUAGCCUUUCUUUAAAAACUUGUCACAAUACCUUCAGAUUUGAACACCAUCAAUGUGCUUGGUCUGGAACCCAUUACUCUAGAGUAUGUGGUCAUCUCACAAAGUUGGUUAUUAUCAUAGGAUUUUUAUUCUUGACCAUGGGCAGGACUGUCAUAUAACUUCUUAAUUCAAAUGCUUUAUCUCCUCAGCUUUUAGGCCUUCACUAGAACCUUGUGUUUCAGCAGAGCUGUUGGGACUCAUGCUUUCUGUAUCCAAAUUGUAAACUGGAUCUUCGCUGGAAAAAAGAGAAAUGAAUUGUAGAUAUAAAAUUACUAGAAAAAAAAUGACAACUGCAGAAAUGUCUUGAGAGAAUAUCUUACAGUAUUUGACUGAAGUUCUGCUUUGGUGGCAUGUCCAGUUUGUGUAAGUCUCUUUCAAACAUUUCUAAAACCUUGGUUAUGGUAGGGCGAUGCAUAGGUAAAAUUUGGAUGCACCACAGACCAAUUAGAGUCAUCUUUCUGGCAAUUUCUUCUACUUCACUUGUGACUUCACAAACUGUAAUCCAUCGUGCUGGGCAAAGUGAUCAUAAAUCCAAUGUGGAAAAUACUUUUCACUUGAUUUUUGAACUAUUGAUUUCACAUUUUUCCUGCCUCCAACCAUCUCUAGCAACAUCAUUUCAUAACUAUACACAUUUGAUUCUGUUGAGACAACUCCAAAAGUUCGAGAGUGAACUUCAGGAGCAAUGAAUCCAAUUGUUCCUCUAGCUCCAGUCAUUGAAAACCUACUCUCCUUGGUAUGACACAAUUUAGCUAAACCAAAAUCAGCAAUCUUUGGGCAGAAGUCCUUAUCUAGAAGGAUAUUUUGAGGUUUGAUAUCAAAGUGGACAAUUCAUGUAUUUCAACUAUGAUGCAAGUAUUCUAGACCGUGAGCAAUCCCAAUUGCUAUUGUAUAGAGCUUUUGCCACCCUAAAGUUUCUUUGGGCUUGUCAGAGUAAAUGUACUGAUCUAGAGAACCAUUAGGCACGUACUCAUAUAUAAGUGCUCUUUUUGAGUGUUCCAAACAAAAGCCAAAUAAGUUAACGAUGUUGACGUGGGAUGUCCUUCCAAUGCUCAUAACCUCAUUUACGAGCUUGUGCUCCUUGUCUUUUCACCAAGGAGAAACCAUAGUCUUUUUACUGCCCUCUUCCGUAUCAGCACACAAAUGCAUGGAAAGAGUAAACUUGCAGCUGCUGCCACCAAAACUGAGAUUAACGCAGAUGUUAUUUACUUCAUAUAUAAACAAUAAAUGUCUGUAGUAUAUUUUAUAUCAUUUUUAUUCUUUUUCAAGGAAUGAGUCCAUCCAUGAUCCCUCAACUCUUCUCAUGGUCUAAUUUUCAUUGCCCUCUUAAAAACUUGUUAUAAUACAUUAACUAUUAAAACAAUACAAGUCUUUAUAAAAAAAACCAUGCAAAUCACAUCCCUAGACUGCCACAGCUUUUUGCCACAUUAGCUGCCAUGUUAUCAGCUUGGUUCACAUCAACAAUGCUUCUGCUUCCUUGGAUCCUUGUUCUGUACAGAGCAUGUCUAGACUUGAAGUGGCAGUUCACUGACGAUCUUACUUUUUACUACUAUAGACUAGAGAAGCUAGGGAGCGACAUAUACGUGAUCAUUAUUAGAUAUAGAUGGUGGACCACAUUAUUAUUGCCUUGGCUUGAUUGGGAGAGUCCUUAGUCUUUUUGUCCAGCCUGUGGGUCAAGCUUGGUGAAAAUGCUUCUUAAGUCUUAACAGUGGUUGGGGUGGGUUUUCAGAUGGAUCAAGAGUUGGAGAAGGUGUUUCACUCAGUAUGAGGAACCGAAGUUUCAUCAAGCGAAGAGUUGAAGGACUAUGGACAGACUUUUCGAUUUUUUAAACAGGUAUCAUAUUAUGCUCCAGACGAAGUAAUUACCAAUGAGAUGACAGCCUGAUUAAAAAAGAUUCUAUCAAGACAUAAUGUGAGUAUUAUUUACCUAUUAAUAUUAUGGUCCCAGUGUUAGUGGUCUUGCUUCCUGCAACAGACAUGCUGAGGUUACUAAUUUUGCACUCAAAUUAAGAAAACAUAUGCUUGAAACAUAAAUAUUUUUGAGAUAGCACUGCACUACAGAUAUGCGGUGAAUGAUGAUUUGCCUUGAUACUGAGCUGUCAAUCAUUAUGUACAAAGAUUUUUCAUAAGUCGUGCAUAUGUAAGCAUGCUUUUUUGUCUGUAUGUACUGAUAAUAAUACUAAGUGCACCGGUUGCUUUCACUUACCGGGCUUAUAGUCGUAUACAUAAGUAUUUUAUCGUGCUAUAGUCCUAACAUGUCCAACUAAUUUUGUCCAAACAGUCAAUACCACCAGUGGUAGCCGGGACGAGGUCUAACGUGCCGCUGCAGUUGUAGAUGAAGCAAAGGGCUCGGUUCCGGCGGCUAAUCGUGAAGGCGCGCUCGGCGAUGAUGCUGGCCGAUACGUUGAAGACUUGAAGUCGACGCGGCAGACACCAUCGUCGCCGGUGGUGAGCCUGGUGUGGGAGACGAUGAAGGAGUUGUUGGCGUAGUCGAUGCCGAGGACGUGGAUGGCAGAGCCAGGCUUUGUUUAGUUCGCAAAAUUUUUGGGUUUGGCUACUUUAGCAAUUUCGUUUUUAUUUGACAAACAUUGUCCAAUCAUGGAGUAACUAGACUCAAAAAAUUCAUCUCACAAAUUACAGUUAAACUGUGUAAUUAAUUUUUAUUUUUGUUUAUAUUUAAUGCUCCAUGCAUACGACCAAAGAUUCGAUGUGACGGAGAAUCUUGAAAAUUUUUACGAACUCAACCAGGCCUCAAGGAAGCGAAGCCGCUGCCAUCAUCACUACACCAGACCUGGAAGGCUGGAUGGCCUCAAGGUGACGAAGACUGGCUGAUGCCGCCGAGCCAGAACGGGUAUCUGACGACUGACGGUGAGGUUGCCACAUGUCGCCCGCUCGCAGUCUGCGUGCGCACGGUCGUGGAAUAGGAGCAAGAAGACCAAGAGCAGGGGGAGCAUUGACGCUGGGCGCAUGUUAAUUGAAGAGGGAAUUGGCCGGGAGUAGUAGCAUGAGUGCAGGACCGUCUUCGUAGUUUAUGUCCGAGUGAGAAAACAGUCGGCCAUUAGCAUUGACUAGUCUAUCCUAGUAUUUUAUAGAGCAGCUCCAUUAGACCAAGGACCAAGGUUCUAAAUCUGUAGCUAUAACCGGCCAUUGGAUGUAUGUAUAGUUUAGCUGUGAGCUGCCGUUAUAGGCAACUAUUUGAUGUUUUUAGAGGUAGAUCGCUAAAUGCCUUAGGGAUUUAAAAUGCUGAUUAGGAUACAUAUGUGUAACCUUUUUUUUAACCUUGUAUUUGUCUGAACUUUUUUGCUCUAAUAAAUCAACUAUAGGGGCUUCGGCCCCUCCACACCCUUAAAGCAAAAAUAUACGAACUUAAUCCUAGAAAGAAAAGAGGAAGAAUUAUAAUUUAGUCUGUUUGUAUGUGGACUCUUACCAAAACUCUUAGGCCUUGGCAAGACUAUAUAUACGUGGGAGUUUUAUGUUGUAACCACCAAUAUUCAGAGGAAUAAAGAAUAAUCUCUCUAUCUUAUGUCUAUUUGUUUUUCUACUUUCAUCUACUAUGUUGAUCAUGAGAGACGAAGAGGAAAAUGUCUCAACCGCUGGCAACAUGUUUUCUAACAACAUACUCCGACCGUGUCCUAUUUUUCAAAAACAGUGGCCACAUAAACCCACUUCAAGUGGGUCUUUAUUCGCGUACUAUGUCCUCGAGCCCUUAUUUCUAGGGCUUAUCUAUAUUUUUAAUGUUUUGGUAAUAUUUUCUCUCGCUUCCAUUUGUAUUUCGCCUGUAUGCAACUUUAGCCCCCACCAUUGUCCCUGAUUGGUGAUUUCAUCGCUGUGCAUCCUUCUCCACGAUGCUCUACUCUUGUGCGCUUAACUUUAGAGGUCCACCCCACGUGCCCUCCUCUCAACCUUCAACCUCUACCUCUCCUAGCGCAGCCUCAUCGUGGCAUGACCUCCUCUCUCAGUGUGGUGCACAACCUCGGUCGACCAGUUUCACUAUAAAUCCUAGCACCUGGACCGUGCCACCGUUGUUGUCCAUCCACUUUCAUAUCUGUUGACGCGCUUUCCCGACUUAGCAAUAGUGACCCGUGGCAAGCUACCGACUCCCUCCCGCACCGCAAUCGGGUGCGACAUUGUUUUCGGUGUGGCGAAAACGUGGAGCAAUUCUUUCCUUUUCACUACUUUGGUGGUCUAACCUGGUCAGUCAUUUUGCACAAGCGAAAUGACAACCUGGUUAGCCUGGUCCUCUCGUGGCGGCGGACUGCACCCUUCAACUUCUUCCUCUCCUCCUAGCACAACCUCAUUGUGGCACGACAUUCUCCCUUGGUGUGCUGCACAAUCUCAAUCGGCUGGUUUCACUACAAAUCCUGGCAUCUGGACCGUGCCGCCAUUGUUGUCCAUGCACUUUUAUAUCUGAUGGCGUGCUUUCCCCGACUCAACCAUAGUGACCUGUGGCAAGCCACCGACCUCUCCCACAUCUUCCAUCCGCAUGACACAUAGCCACUUUCCUUGUGGCAAUCUAGCAAGAUACAUCCACUAGCUUGCCUAAGGCGCGUUUCGCUAGGCCUUGUUGGGGUGCGGCUCCCUGUACCCGCAUGGAGGAAGAAGAAGACCGUGAUUUUUUUUUCUAGACACUAGCAUUUGGGGCCUAUCUCAAGGGUAAAUUAGUCCAUUCCAAUCAAAAUGUCCUUGUGUGGAUCUGGAGCUGUCAUGUAGUGAUGUAGCCAAAUACUUCCAUGGUGAAUCUCAGAUCCAAUAGUGGAGCUACUCCAUGGUGAAUCCCAUAUUCAAAUUCAAAUUUCUAGAGGAGGAGCUGUCCAAACAGGUCCUAAGACUGAGAAGAUGUGGAUUCUAGGGGUGUACGGAUUUACAUACAAUACACAAACAGUAGUGAGGAAUGCUAGGAAGGUUCUGAUUCUAAGGGUAAUAUUACAAGGUAUAAGUUGGCGCACUUUGUUGCGCACACGGCAGUGGCUACCUGCAGAGAGUUGCACUCUUUUGAUGUUAUGUGCCUGCAAAAAUUCUUGUAGCGAAGUGUGCGUGAGGAAUAGUACGGCGGGACAACCAUCUAUCGCGCACGGGGGAAUGCUGGCCUCCUCCACCGGCCACCGCAUACAACGGACCGAAUGCCUAGGGCCAGGCCAAGGUGUUGUUGCCCCAAUUGGUAACAGGCCUAGCCCACCAAAGCGCUCGGUACGUGCCAUCAACACAGAAAGCCACGCAUAUGCAGAGAGCACUCUUGACUCCCUGUACACAGAUACUCCUGCACUGCAGGUAUGGAUUUUUUUUUGAGAAUUAUACAUUAUUACGUAGACAUCUAUAAUAUACAUGUACACCUACCUCUAUAAACAAUAUCCCUGUAUGUAAGUACACAUACCAGGCUACUGUAGGAAUAUGUUGUGAGGCUAUGAAAAAAUUAAUGCCUAAUAUUGAUGGUAUAGCUUACUUUGCAGUAGAUGCCCAUAUACCAAAGCGUGGGUAAGCGUCGUAUUAUUAUUUUUUUAAUUUGUAAGGCUUAUCUCUUUGGCCUUUAGCGUGUCACUAUAAGCUUGUAUUGUCGUAGUACUGCUGGGACUUGUGCUUUCUGCAUUCAUAUUGUAAGCUAGGUCUUCGCUGAAAAAGAAAAAAAGGAAAGUAGUUGAAUGUAUCAAGAUGAAAAUGGCGGACAGGUACAUAAGUGAGUAGUAAAAAAUUAUCUUACAGCACUUGACUGAAGUUUUGCUUCGAUGGCAUCUCCAAUUCAUCUGAGCCACUUUCGAACAUUUCUAAAACUUUGGUUAUUGUAGGGCGAUGCAUAGGUAAUAUCUGUAUGCACCACAGGCCAAUCAAAAUCAUUUUUCUUGCAAUUUCCUCAUCUUCCUGUGCAACUUCACAAGCUACUAACCCAUCAUUUUGAGCAUAGUGAUCAUAGAUCCAAUCUGGAAAAUAUUUCUGACUUGACUUUUCAACCAUUACUUUUACAUUUUUCCUGCCCCCGACCAUCUCUAGCAACAACAUUCCAUAACUAUAAACAUCUGAUUUUGUCGAAGCCACUCCAAAUGUUCGUGAAUGCACUUCAGGAGCUAUAAAUCCAAUUGUUCCCCUAGCACCAGUCACUGAAAGCUUGCUCUCCUUGGUACGACACAAUUUAGCUAAACCAAAAUCAGCAAUCUUGGGGCAAAAAUCGUGAUCAAGAAGGAUAUUUUGAGGCUUGAUGUCAAAAUGGACAAUACGUGUGUUACAGCUAUGGUGCAAAUAUUCUAGUCCACGAGCAAUCCCAAUUGCUAUUGCAUAAAGCAUUUCCCAUCCUAAAAUUUCUUUAGGGUUCUCUGAGUAAAUGUACUUAUCCAAAGAACCAUUGGCCAUGUACUCAUAUAUAAGAGCUUGUUUUGACCCCUCCAAACAAAACCCAUAUAAGCUAACAAUGUUCACAUGUGUGGUCCUGCCAAUGCUCAUAACCUCAUUCACAAAUUCCUCCCCCUUUGCUUUGGAGUCAUGCAAGAAUUUCACUGCAACUAGGCGACCAUCAUUUAGUCUUCCUUUGAAAACAACACCAUAACCACCUUCUCCAAGCUUAUUAUUAUUUAUAGAAGAUGUUAUUUUUGUUGCUUCCGAGUACUUGUAUCUUUUUGGAGCUAGUGAUCCAUGCGAUGAUAUUAAGACCUCAAUGUUCCUUUUGUUUUUCCUGAUAGUCAUUUUACCAAUGAGAAAACAUGGUUUUUGCCCCUUUCUCUGACAUAUCAGCAGAUAAAUACAUAUGGAAGAAGCAAGGUUCCAGCCACUGCCAUCAAUACUGAAUUAAAGUACGUGUUAAUUAUUUGUUAUAUUAUGGACUGUUAAACUUCAAUAAUGAGAGUAAAUUUUUAAAAUGCAAGACCUCAAAAUUAGUAUUAGCAAGAUAAAACUCUCAAAUUUUGCUCCAAAUUCACCAGUCUUUUAAAGGCAUAAAGGUUGCUUCUUCUAAAUUUUAACAUUAACUUUAAUGUGGCACUUCUAUGAUCUUGCAUUGCAGAAAUUGAACUUUCAAAGUAAUUUAUAAUAUAUUAGAAUAAUUUUGUCACAACUGAAAUAUAUGGUUAAAUAUAAAAAGAUGGCUGAACAAAAUUAAUUACCUAUCAGCAUUAUCCUUCUGCUGCCAGUCCUCUUAUUACCUGGAAAAGCACAUAAUAUUAAUCAACAAAAAAACACAUAAUAUUCAGUUAACUCUAGAAAUUGACUGAAUUUUGUAAAAAGGACUAAUAUUUAUGACACAAAAUUAGUACAACACGAAGUGUAUUUUCGUACUAUACUUGUUUUUGUCAUAGAUGUUAAUACUUUUUGUAUAAAAUUAGUCAAACUUAAAAAAAGAUUGAUAUAUGACAAUUAUAAAAAGUUGGUUUAUUUUGAGUCAUAGAGAGCACAAUGUUAAUCAUGGAUUUUUUUGUAGACACCAUACAAAUUUUGAAAACUGGUGUUGACAGUAUGAUGUAAUAAUGGACAAAUGAUCCUAUAUAUUACUAAAAAGAGGAUCACCUACCCAGGAGGAGCUAGAUAAAUUUGCACACAGAAUGAAGGGUUGUUAUGCAUAAAUAAUCACUAUAAUCAUAGUGCACAGAUACCGGGAUGCAUUAGUUCAAUAGCUGUAAGUUCGUCAUAGUAUUUGGUCUCUUUGCGGUUUGUAUAGCAAAGAGAGCCAUGCAUUCUAGGAGCAACUUUAGCAUACCAUAGGCACCGAAUCCAAAAUUUAAAGGCUUAGGUAAAAAACAUAAUUCCAACAUGAUCUCUACUCAGGCCUCCAAAAGUAAGCACCCUAUUUUUCAGUUUCAGUUGUGUAUCACUCCGUCCCAUUUGAAACCACUCUUCAAGCCUGGCACACGUCACCGCCCGAUGCUCCACCCAACACAUCGCAGGCCAACACUCGACCACUCCUCCCCUAGCUGCCUGCUGCCCCACCUUCAUCUGGAGUCAGUGUGGAGAACAAGUGAUGGCAAGAUCACCUGCGCAGUCAUGUGUGUGUUGCUAGUCGUCGGUGUUGGGAGAGAUCAUGGAUCGAAUGGGGUCACCUCACCUGGCUAUUUCAUGGAGGCCACCACAACUAUCUUUUGUUGUUGCCGUGCUGGAUGGUGUGUUGAAGCGGUCAGAUAAGUCCCCGCUUUUGUCUCCAGAGCUGAUCAGUAGUGGUCACUCCAAUUUGACCCCUUUUUCCACAUCUACUUUGGCUCUAUUUGCUUGUCUUAUAAGCCGUAUUUUUUCUGCCAGUCAGCAAUGUUUUUCUUUUACAAUAAAUCAGCAAACAAUAUUUUUCAACUAUGACUUUUUAGAUAAAUAAACAGGUUUGUCUCCAUACUUUCAUUUCAAUAUUACAACAUCGACCGUUCACGAAAAGACAAAAAAAUUGGCUAUCCUGCGCGUGCCCGAUAAGCCUACACGCUUUCUAGAAUCUACUGUCUCUGUCCUAAAAAUUUGCUUUGGCUGUUCAAUUUGCAUGCUGCCGUCGUCUUGGCACCCUCCUACGUGGGAGGCACGGCGCCCUCCUCGCUGCCACUAUGUCGUCAUCACGUCACGGCCAUCGGUGUCGUGCGGCGUCGAUGUCGGUAUAGAUGGCCAACCGGGCCGUCCGGCACGGCAUGGGCACGAGCACUAUGCGGCACGGUGGCCCGCCAUAUGCCGUGCCUGAUAGUGCCAGCGUGCUGAAGUGGCAGCCCAGGCACAGCCCUAUCAGGGCUGGAGCGUGCCGUGCCGUGCCAUCAGGCACGGUGGCACGCAGUGCCCAUGCCGGCCCAAGCACUAAGCCAUCUUCGGCCAUGUCGUUGUCGUCGGAGUUUCCUCGGAGGUCGCGGAUCCUCUCCAUCUCUUCUUCCAUGGCAGUGGCACUAGCCUCCACCGUGUCUUCGGAGACAGAGGGCGGAGGCCAGGGCAGCACCCUCACUUCAGCUUGACCUGGCCUCAAUUGGCUUCCAAAAGAAGAGCAACAUCAGUAAAGAACUAGAGAUUGAAGAUGAGUCAAGAAUAGAGAAAAUCAGAGCUAUAGGGUUUCGUACCUAGACAGCACCGGCGAUGUAGACGGAGCUUUGGCCAGCACCGGAUCAGCAAAUCUGAAGAAAAUGGCGACGGUGAGUCAGAGAAGAAGAAGAAGAGCUUCGAGAAGAAGAGUCAUGGCCGGCGGCGAGUUAAGUUUCUAACCGAGCCCAGGCAGACCAAUCCAAGUUAUGAUGAAAAAUGAGACAGCACGGAGGGACACAAAAGCAAUGGUUUCGGAGGCAUUUCCAAUUCAUUUAAGUUCUUCUCCAACAUCUCUAUAACCCUGCUCAUAGAUGGACGAUUUUCUGGAGUCGUUUGUAUGCACCACAAGCCAACAAGGGUCAUCUGUAUUGCAAUCUCUUCUGUCUUGCAUGUGACUUCAUGACUUUGUAAAUCUUUAACCAAACGGUCAUGAACCCAGUUUGGAAAAUAUUGUUGACUAGAAUUCUCAGUGUCUUCUGUAAGAUUCUUCCUUCCUCCUGCCAUUUCUAACAACAUCAUUCCGUAGCUGUAUACGUCUGACUUGGUGGACACAACUCCAUAACCCCUUGAAAAUACCUCUGGAGCAAUAAAACCGAUGGUACCUCUUGCUUCAGCCAUUGAAAGGGCACUAUCCUUAAGAUGACACAGUUUUGCCAAUCCAAAAUCUGCUAUUUUGGGACAAAAGUCUUCAUCUAGAAGUAUGUUAUUUGGCUUUAUAUCAAAAUGGAUGAUCCGUGUAUUACAGCCGUGAUGCAAAUAUUCCAAGCCUCGUGCAAUUCCUAUUGCUAUUUCUCGCAACUUUUCCAAUCCAAUGGCCCCUUUUGUUUCUUCUGAUUGUAUAUACUUCUCCAAUGAACCAUUAGCCAUGUAUUCAUAAAUAAGUGCUCUGUUAGGUCGUAAACAAAAACCAAGCAAUUUGACAAUAUUUACAUGAGAUGUCCUACGGAUACUUGCAACCUCAUUCACGAAUUCCUCUCCAUUUCCUUUUGAUCCUUUCAGUAGUUUCACGGCAACCUUCGGGCCAUCUUCUAAAGUCCCCUUAAAUACUGUGCCAUAGCCGCCUUCUCCUAACCUAUCUUUGAAAGAUCCAGUUAUCUUCUUUACCUCUGAGUAUUUGUACCUUUUUGGAACGAGGGAGUCAUAUCCUUUUAGUAUUUCCUCUAUAUUUGAUUCAUAGCCUUUGUACUUUUUUCUCUUCUGGCGGUACAUUAUCCAAACAAGGGACGUAAGAAUCAAGCUGGCUGUAGAGGACAAGGCAACUGAAACAGGAUAUAUCAUGUUAUUACACACCAAUUUGUAUUGGAAAAACGCAAAUUAAUGCUUGUUUUAUCGUCAUUACAAAGAUAAGAUGCACCACACUCUUUGUUCUGGAAUAAUAAGUAUAUUUUGAUGAGGGAAAAAUCAACUCAUUAGAUUUUGACCCUUAGUUUCUCUUACUAUAUGUUUUUUUGGACAACAUCUCUCUUACUAUAUGUUAUCAUUUGUAAUCUCCGAGUCAUUUCGAACAUAAAUCUAUCGAUACAAAUUUUAUAUCAUAGACUUGACUAACUUUUGGUCAAUGUUUAUAAAUUUGACAUUGCCCUGUACAAACUACAUUUAUCAUUCUGGGACGGAGAAAGUAAACAAUAAUCAAGAAAUAUAUAAGGAAAUGGAAUAGUGCUGUAGCAAAAAGGAACGCAGGAGUGAUAGCAUAUAUGCAUCAGCUAACUGAAUAGCAGGCUGCUCAAAUAAAUUGAUCUGUUAAAAAACAUACCUAUUAAGAUUAACUUCAAGUUCUGUUUCUUCCUUGGAUCUGCUAAAAAAAUUAUAAAAUUGUAUCAAACCAUCGGACAAAAAAAUAUAUGAUAAGAGUUUUUUCUUUUUGAGGAAAAAGGCUGAGUUGAUUAUUUUUUAUUAUGUUGAGGAAAUGUAAUGUUAGCAAGAGUUGCAAAAGUGAUAAACUGAUAACAUAAAAAACAUGCAUGUUAUUUUUUUCAUUCAACAUCGACUGCUAUUUGAGAUAAUCUCGUGGAAUUCAUAUUUUAUUCCUCAUGAUUUUAGAUUUAAUAGGUACUUUGGUGUCUUAAGUCUCACCGGAUAAUACCACUAAAAUACUAUUGUCUUUGAUUAAAUUUGUUACUGCUCAGAUGGUUCUCUUGACUAAUGAUAUAUCAUUUCUCUUAAUUGUACGAGGGAGCAUAUGUUUCUUUUACACAAAGAGAUUCCUCUAAAGUCUAAAUAGCAUCAUUGACACAAUUGGACAAGUCUCUCAGUUGCGAAAAGCGCGCAAAGAUUGCCUUGGGAGUGCUAAUGUAGACAUAAUUUGGAAGCUAGGAGUACUUAAGUUGACAAGUACAGUCUAAGUUUUUUUCGCAAACUCACUCCUGAUCGUGGUACUUACAAAUUGCAUGUUUGGAUCCCUAAACUUAUGUCGAGUUCAGUCAUAGUACUUGCUUUGCACACUCAACUCCCUAAAGUUGCACUAUUAUACCAUUCUAGUUUAUCCACCCCUACACCUUACCAUCCUCGCCCUUGCCACACCACACACACUUGCCUCAUCUUUGCAACCAUGUGGCGCUACCACAGUCAUAAAAGUUCUUGUUAUGUAGGUAUGAGGAACGGGAUACGUGGGACAUGGAUAGCCAAUUUCAAGUUCCUGGUUCGUAGGGGGUAUACCUCUUUGGGAUGUUUGGUUCGAGGAUGGGAUCAUGAUCCUUAGAUAAUUGGGACGGCAUAACCCGGAACAUAGCUAUGGAUCAAGGAUCGUGAUCCCAGUACAUUUGAGUCGAUAUAAAUAUAUUUAUAAGUCCCAAUUUGGCAUUCAUAAAGAUAAACUUAUAUGCUAAUUAUAGAUAAAAACUUCAAAUAGACCGUGCCAUUUGCCGUGACCACAUGUCUGUGCUCUAUAGUAGCACAACUUCUUCAUCACAAGUUUGCUGGUAUAGCCCGUUGAUCUCCCUGAAUCCUAAUGCUAUAUGCAAGUUUACAAGAUAAGAAACAUUAUUAAUAUUUAUUGCUAAUAAGAAAACUCAAACAUAUCACUUUCAGCUUAGUAUAUUGCUAGUAUUUACCCUCAGAUAUUAGAAUUUUUAGGAUCUACAUCCUAGUUGGCAUGUGCUCUGUUUUUGUAGCUCUUAGUGGCCCUUGACAAAAGAUGCAAAUUAUGGUGGAUAUAUAGACUAGUUUGUCAGCUAUUUUUACAUUCAGCUUGUUUCUCUUUGGUCUUUGGGUGUAUCCGUAGGUACUCCAAAGUCUCUCUUCUGAUGAACUUUUGAUAGGUUUGGAAAGAACUCUCGCUGCCCCACUGCCAAAUUUGGGGCCUGGGCACCAUAGGUGAACCACCAUUUAAUUGGUUCCAUUGUGCUCGCAUCAAGUUUAAGAUUGCAUGCUCACGGUCUAAAUCUGCUAUUUGAUGUAAAGAUUCCAUUACCCAUUCCAUAACCUCUAAAUCUUCAUUUGGUGGUUUCCUUGGAAUGCCCCAAGGAGCAUCCUUUUCAAGAUAUAUUCUAUCAUAGAAGAUAUACUCAUGGAAUCGUGGAGAGAGUGCAUAAGCAAGACACUCAAGCCGAGUAUUCAUCUUUUCCCGUCGUGAACAAGUUAUAUCUUCUAUUUCUGAGUAGUCAUUUUUGUGCGGGUUAUCAUCAUUAUCCAUUAUAUAUAUUCUAUUUUUUAGUAGUCAUUUUUUGUGUGGGUUAUCAUCUUUAUCCAUAGUGCCUUUGAUCUUUCCAACCAUAUUAUCCAUUCUUUUGAAGAUUUCUCCUAUUUUGGAUCUUCUCUAUCACAAAAAUUUAUUACUUGGAAAAUGGGCUCUGUGAUGCCUGGUAUAGUUUUCACCUCAUUUGAGAAGUUGUCAUCAUUGAUUGCUUUAACAAUAGCCUUGAUUUGCAUAUUCUGAGCAUUGUGCAACCUUUCAUCCAAUCUUUCUAUUGCUUGGUGACUACUGUGGCAGCAAGUGCUUCUAUGCAAGCAAUCAACAUGUUGUAAUUUGAAGCAAAUCGAGUCUGUCCCACCAAUUUCUUUGUAACGAAAGUACUAUGGAAUUUAUUGAAUGGAACACCAAUUAGUGACCAUGCACUUGAUUUGCUUCAAAUUAAAUUAUGUUGGACAGGUUGAUUACUUGUAGAGAAGCACUUGCACCACUGUAGUCACCUAGCAAUGGAAAAAUUGGAUGAAAGGUCGCGGCAGUGUCGCAGUGAUCGGAAUAUGCAAACCAAGACUAUUGUUAAAGCAAUAAAUGAUGACAACUUUUGGAAUGAGGUGGAAACUGUCCUAGCCAUCAUGUGAGCCCAUUUUCUCAGUCCUAAAAUUCUAUCAUGGAGAAGGUCCAAAAAUUGGAGAAAUCUAUGAGAGAAUGGACAACAUGGUUGGAAGAUCAAAGACAUUAUGGAUAAAGAUGAUAAACCUGCACAAAAAAUGAUUAUUAGAAAUAGAAUAUAUAUAUAUAUAUAUAUAUAUAUAUAUAUAUAUAUAUAUAUAUAUAUAUCCACGGUUCUAUGAUAUAGUAUAUCUUGAAAAGGAACAUCAUAGGGGCAUUCAAAGAAAACCACCAAAUGAAGAUUUAGAUGUUAUGGAAGGGGUAAUGUAAGCUUUAUGUCGAAUAGCAUUAAGAUUGUGAGUGCAAAUCUUAUGUUAGCAAUUUAAUGAUUUUGUUAUGAGAGGGAAUGUUUGCACUUCCUGUUGUUAAACUUGAUGCGGGCACAAUGGAACCAAUUAAAUAGUGCUUUAGCUAUGGUGCUCAAGCCCCAAAUUUGGCAGCGGUGGCAGCAAGAGUUCUUUCCCAACCUAUCAGUAGUUCAUCAGAGACUUUAGAGUACCUAUGGAUAGAUCCAAAGCACAAAGAGGAACAAGCUGAAUGUAAAGACAACAAAAUAGUACAUAUCCACCAUAAUUUGCACCUUUUGUCAAGGACUACUAAGGGCUACUGAAGCGAAGCACAUGCCAACUGGAUGUAGAUCCUGAGAAUUCUAAUAUCCACAGGGUAAACACUAGUUCAAUAUACUAAGUUGAAAGUAAUCUAUAUGAGUUUUUUUAUUAGCAACAAAUAUUAAUAAUGUUCCUGACCUUGUAAACUUGCAUAUAGGAUUAGGAUUCAGGAAGGUCAACUGGCAACCAGCAAACUUGCGAUGAAGCUGUGCUGCUGUGGAGCGCGGAGCCGCGGACAUGUGGUGAGGACAGAUGGCGCUGUCUAUAUAUUUGAAGUUUUUAUCUUUAAUUAGCAUAUAAUGAUAUAAUUGUAUCUUUACGAAGAAUGUCAAAUUCAGUAUUAUAUAACAAAAUCCAGGAUUAAUGUUUUUUUCUCCAAUCCGAAGUACUCCAUGUCUCCAACACAAGGUAUAGACGACGCUUACCACGAGAAGAAGUCGACGAAUUGACGCAUUGGAAGGAAAGCUCGAAGAACCUGCACUGCCCUCCUUUCCGUUUGCACGCAUCGCAGUCUCCAAGCGUCGGCCAGUCCAGGACGAAACCAUCGCUCAUCAAUCGCUCGUAGUCACGAGUCAGGUUCAUCCCAUCUUGGAACCCGCGCACCGGCACGCUCGCGGAGGUGCAGUUCGCCUGAACCCACUGCGGCGGCAGGGUGCUCUGCAGCUCGUCGGCCGGCCUCUCGGAGAUGUAAGCUCCAACUCCGUGCUUGGAACAUGGCCCCGUCAGCUGCUCGUUAUGAGGAAUCUUGCAGUUGUAGACGAAGGUGAGGUCGUCCCUGUUGGCGGCGCUGAUGUUGACCGGUAAGAGGCCGAGGCUAGAGGACACGUUGAAGUCCGGGAUCUUACACGCCCCGUCGCCGGAGAAGGCGGUCUCCACCGCCACGACCAUGGAGCGGUUGCCGUAGGAUAUGCUGAGCACGCGGUAGAGGUUCACCCUGAACGUCCUGCUGAGGUACGUCCUGCCAGCAGCGGCGUCGCAUGUCAGCCCGAAGGACGGGUAGCCGCACUCCAGCGGAUGCACGCCGGCGAGGGAGAACGGGUACGUGACGCUCAGGUUCCCGCAUCUCGCCGGCGCGCAGCUCGUGUCGUUGCCGCCGCUGGUGGUCCGGCUGGUGUCGGCGUCGGCGUCGGCGGUGACCGUGGCCGUGGCUAAGCCUAAGCGCAGCAGCAAGGUGGAGAGAGGGAGCAGCAGCGCCACCACCACCACGGCAGGCUGCAUCGGGAGAAGAAGAAAUCUUGCUCGCGUCUGCGCGGUGGGAGGAAUUGUGGAGGUUGUGAAAAAACAAAACAAGGGUGUUCCGGUCAGCGCUCAGCGGUCAAGGUCGCCUCACGGGUCCGCGUUACUUGGACUGGAUUUUUUUUUUUUUACAGCCUUGGACUGGAAUUUGUUUCAGCCUUUCAGGAAGAGUACCGCCGUGCACUUUGACUUGUCACAGCUCUACGGUCAGGGAGCCUUGAACGGUCGUGAUGGAGCUUUUUGGACUAUGGAUGUAGGGAUCUUCGUGCUCCGGCUCCCACAGCCAUUUUUCCGGUUGCUUUACUAUUUAUUGGAGCUAAAUUUCUCUCUCUUCCCUCUUCUUUUUACAGAGCUAAUUGAAGGUGAAGCUAAAAUUUUUGACUCUAAUACAGCUUCUUGUGUCAGUGAAAGAGAGGAAGAUGAGAGAGAAAAAUAGAUUCUAUCUGCAGUGAAGCUAUAGGAACUGUGUCAGCUCAAGCUGGAGCCAACUGAAUCCAUACCAAAGAGACCCUUAACUUUGUGUGACUGUUCAAUAGUGCACAUUGAUGAAAAGGAGGACGAACUGAUGGGGCUUUUGUCAGAUAUCAGUAUAUGGAGUGCUUUACUAACUAAGCUCGGAACUGUUUCACUAGUCUUAAUUCCACCCCUCUCAAUGUGUCUUUUAGAAGGGCACUAGUUGGGAACAAGUUGUUGGAAUGGCAAAGUCUAGUUGCGAGAGUUGCUUUUAUUAAUUUAAAUGAGGGUCGGGAUACUUUCGUCUGGAACUUAAAUAAUAAUGGCUUAUUUUCUGUUAAAUCCAUGUACAAAUACCUAGUUAAUAAUGGGAUUAAGGUUACUCAGGAAAUUUGGCAUAUGAAAGUGCCCUUGAAGAUUAAGAUUUUUCUUUGGUUCUUAAAAAAGGGGGUGGUACUCACAAAAGACAACCUUGCUAAAAGGAAUUGGAAUGGGAGUAAGGCUUGUUGUUUUUGUAGCACACCUGAAACUAUCCAACACUUGUUUUUUGAUUGCCAUUAUGCCAGAUUUCUUUGGCGUGCCGCAUUUGUUUUGUUUGGUAUUUUUCCUCCAAGGAACGUGAACCAUCUUUUCAAUAGUUGGUCAAAGUUAGGAGGAUCCAAUCAUAAUCAUCUAUUAUUAACUGGGGCUGCGGCGUUUUGCUGGGCAAUAUGGAUCACAAGGAACGAUAUGAUUUUUGACAAAGGUCACCCAAAAACUUUUUUGCAGGUUCUUUUCAGGGGGACACACUGGUUACGAUUUUGGGCUCUGCUGCAGUGCUCGGAUGACGACAAGGAACAGAUUCGUGACGCUUGCAAGCUACUAGAAUCGAGAGCCAUGGAGUUCUUCGCAUCGCAUGGAUGGUCUUUCAUUUACCGUCUUAAACAUUAAUUCUGAAUCUGUAAUAAGUUUUAAUUAUGGGUGUGCUACUGUAACAAAUUUGGACUGAUGCUUCUUCUUUUAAGAAGAAGGCUGAAGCUGGAAUUUUCCAUUAUCUAAAAAAAAGUCUUCACAUCUGUUUUCUGGGUGGGAGUAAAGCUUCAUUUCCGCAAAAUGCAUGUGGAUAGCGUUUGCCAGUGUCGACUCCGGAGUCCGGAGUCCCGAGGGUGCUGCCGAGGAUAGGAUUCAGACUUGAUGCAUCACACAACCUAACGUAACGUCCAGGCAACACGUGAAAUAACAGCUUUAACUAGCUAUAAGUGGUAUCUUUUUUUUUUUAAAGAUCCGGAUAUUGUCCGGCUUUGACUAAUAAUAAGGAGGAAGAGUAAAACAUCCGUUUAUAAGUGGUAUCGUGGUAACACCCCUUUCAGUUACGUUUUCCUUGUUUUUCAUUUCUUUUUUUUUUUAGUUUCCCUCUGGCUUUACUCUUUCCUUUGUAAGUUUUAACUCCUUUGAAUAAAUUUUCAGUAGGGGCUCACACCCCUCCUGUGUUCCUCAAAAAGUGGUAUCGUGGUAACACUUGUCCAACAGAUAAAAAAAACUAGACCACGGAACGAGACGGAAGAGUUCUGGAGCUGCUCUAACCAGUCACACCGCGAGAAGCUUGGCUUCAACACAGAUAUCAAUCUCUACUCCAUUCCUUCUAAAUUAUAUGCGUCCCCUAUAUAACUUUGAAAAGUUUAUAGAAAAGUGCAUGUUUCAUCAAAUCUACCACGAACAAAGAAAACUCCAUUCUAUUAGUGCAUUUAUCUGAUCUUGUACACGCUAGUUAUAUAUUGAAAACUUCAACUUUAAAACAAAGUUAAAAUGACAAAAAAAUUGGAAGGGAGAAGCAUAUAAAUCUGAGUACUGGAACCAUAACAUUUCCAGAGUAAUUUCGUGAGAAAGAUCACAAACUGAGCAUAACUUAGUUGAUUGAGUUUCUUAUGGUGGAACCUAUCUAAAAUUCUAGUCCUUUACUUGACAUGAGUCCUGAAUUUAUUUAAGGAUUUAAUGACAUUAUUCUUCCAGACGUGUCCAUGAUAAAAAACGCAUUAUAGUUGUUCUUUUUUUUGAAAUUUGAUAUACUAGUGUAUUCAAAUCUCUAUAUUUAUAUCUCUACUCCUAAAAAGUCUAUAAGGACACACUCUGCCUUCCUCAGUUUUUUUUCUCAAAAAUCCUCUGUCUUUCUCAUUUUUUUGAAAAAAGACUCCAUGUAGAUCAAUAUUACAACAUAGCCAUGACUCACAAAUCUUCAUGUUCCCAAAACACGAUCAGCCACUAAAUCACGUGAUCUUCCUUUUCUGUUCUCCAAAAUUGCCGUUCCUCGAUGUCAUUGUUUUGCCGUCCCCUGUCGAUCAAAUCGCUUCCAUCGACUUGACCUCAACGAAUGAGUGUUGAGGUCGCACUCCUAAAGCAACGAGAUACAAGAGAUUAGGUGAGGCUGUGAAGGACCGAGAAAGGCGACAAGAUAGUGGUGGUGGGGGGGGGGGAGUAAGUGGGAGUCUAAUCCAUUUUUCUUUUGAUUUCGGUAGCUAUCCCAAAUCAAGCCCCAAAGCACUCAAAAAACCAAAACUCUAAGGAGAAGUGCACAUGAGUCAACUAGUGACUGGAUGCCCUUCGGAAGUCGGAAGGACUAGAGAACCCAGCAGAACACUCUCCAAAAUGGAGCAGCAGGCAAGGACACGAAUCACACAAAAGCGAAACCAAAAGGCUCUCAACUUCAACUUAAUUAACUGAAGCAAGAGCCCAAACUGAAAUCACCCAAGCCAUCUAGUGACUUGAUGAUUCCCAAAUUUUUCUUGACACCUCAGAAAGCUCAUGGAAGAAACGAGAAGUCAAACAGACAAUCAGAGCGCCUGGUGACACAAAAAAACCGAGAACAACACCCAGAGUGCAGAGGUUCCACACUUCCUACAGCACGGCGCUCCCAUGCUAGCAGAGUCCAGCAGCCCGAACCAAAGGAGAAAAAGUCAAAACUCGACCAAACAGACUAAGCUAAAAUUUUGCACACACCUUCUCAAGAAUGUUUACAAGAUAUCCACAAAAUUUGAGCUCCAAAAUAUCAAAGGUUAAAGCGUCAGCCCAAAAAACAAGCUCUCAAGGGAGCAGUACCGGUUGAAUAUUAGACCAAGGUCAGGAUGAGAUUUCAGAUGAGGUGUUCCCACAUAAUCAUAGGCCUUGUUUAGUUGGUGGUCAAAAAAAUUUUGGAUGUCACAUCGAAUGUUUGAUAGGAUGUCGGAAGGAGUAUUUAAAUACUAAUAAAAAAACUAAUUACAUAACUCGUCUGAAAACUGCGAGACGAAUUUAUUAAGCCUAAUUAAUUCAUCAUUAGCACAUGUAGGUUACCGUAGCACUUAAGGCUAAUCAUAGACUAACUAAGUUUAAAAGAUUCAUCUCGUGAUUUCUAACCAAAUUGUGUAAUUAAUUUAUUUUUUAACUAUAUUUAAUACUUUAUGUAUGUGUCUAAAUAUUCGAUGUGAUGGUUGAAAACUUUUUGGAUGGGGAACUAAACAAGGCCUUUAGUAGUAGUUAUCCUUGUCCAUAUGGCGGAUCGGGGGCGUUUGGUUCCCAGCCAAUGCUCGCCACACCUAACUUGCGGCUGCCCACCGUACCUUGGCUGGUGUUUAGAUUGGGCGCAAGCUGUGGCAGCACAUAUGUUUCAGUCUUUUUCUCUGCCACACUUCUUUAGCGGCGCCACAGCAACUUUGCAUGGCUGGUAGUAGCCAGGAACCAAACAGCCCAUGCGACUUCCGGUUCCAGGUAGCUGAACGGUAGCCAUAAAAUGGGUCAAUCAGUCCAACCCACUCAACCUAGUGUGAAAAAUCUUGGUAAAUGGGUUAACCCAAAAAAGACACAGGGUUUUCAAUGAUCAAUGGGUUACCCAAAAGGCACAGAAACGAUUAAAUUGUACGUAUUUACUCUGUUGCUGAACACCGUUGAUAAUGAAAAACAAUGUAGAGGAAGCUGUAAGUUGACUCGGAAUGAAUCAAUGCUGUGAUCUCUAGACUUUAUACAGCAAAUAAAUCCUGCAAGACCAAUCGAACUGAAGAUCCAGACAGAAGAAGGCACUCUGAAAAUCAGUUUGCAAGAUAAUUGAAGUGACAUUUUCAGUGAAGUGCAAAAUACAUGUUGAUAAACUACACUGUCAUCUCUAAGGUUAAUUCGUAAGCAGGAGUGGAUCCAGGAUGGGGACAAAUGGGAGCUAAAUAGUAAAGAUUUAAGUCUUAAGCUAGAUAUUAUUGUUGAUUUAAGACUAAUCAACACUAAUUUAAUGGAUAAAUCUGGCUCAUAGGGGGACUGUAGCUCACCCAGCACCCCUCUUUGGAUCUGCCCCUGUUCGUAAGCAUGAAAUGGGCUCACACGAGAUCCCAGUACAUAGGAUCAGGGCAAUCCUUGAUGUAAACUUCCGUCUUGAACAGUCAAGGAAUUGUGUAUAUCAUCAUCAUGUUUCAUAUGCCACAUAACCUACAUGAACUUAUGUCAAUUGAACUCUGAUGAACUUUACAAAAAUGUCAGUAAAAAGUUUUUUUUUUAGGAAACAGGAAGGGUUUCACCCCCUACUGGAAUUUAUUGAAAAAGACAAGAUGUACAAAGUGUUACAAGCCUCACUUAGGAGACAAAAAAAGAGUGGAAAAAGAUAAAAAAUAUUAUACAUAAGCUUGUAGCCAUGUCUUCAUCGAUGGUUGCAUGUCACUCUUUGCUCGUAGGAUAACCUGAGCAAAUUCUUGUUUGAAGAUCUCCUUACAGCGACGGAUAGAGUUGUCAAUGCCUCUGAAGAUCUUAUCAUUUCGCGAGGACCAAAUUGCCCAACACAUUGUUACUAUUACAUCCAUGAAAAAAGGUGCAAGAAGCUGAGAUUUAAGAAUUUCCACAAUUUGGCAAACGCUCAUACUAUUUGGCACUAUUACCUGAAGACUCCACCAACAAGAAAUUGAAAAAGGACAAUGGAAGAAAAUUCAGUAAAAAGUCAUGACUGAAAAUAUUGUUCGCUGAUUUAUUAUGAGAGAAAGAUACUGUUGAGUGGCAGAAAAAGUAUAGCUUAUAAGACAAGCGAAUGUGGACAUAGGACAAUUAACAUGGCACCACGUUACCAAAAACCACGAUAAAUCCUACUUAGGAUGCAAACAUAAUUGGUUUAAAAAGUUAAAGAAUAAAUAAAACCAGUUUUAUAGAUGAGGGGAGAAAAUUGGACGACAAUCCGACUUAGAGCAUCUCUAAGAGUACCCAAAAUAUACUCUCAAUUUAGGAUUUUUAGAAAGAUGAGAAAAAUUUUAUCCCUAACAACUCUCGAUCAAUCACAUCUCUCAAUCUUUUAGUACUUGAAAAAAUACAUCAAAACGCAUAAAGAUGCGCAUACCAAUAUCGUGCGUAUCCGUUGCGUUUCAUGUGCCUUCUCCUUUCCGCUGAACAAUUGAAGUUGCCGCCCUUAAAGACAUGUGCUCUCACUUUUGCUCCCACUUUCUCUACCAUUAGAUUAACAUUGAGAAACGUGCAAACACCACACUUCUCAGUGAGAAUCUAGUGGUGAAGCAAGUGAGAGCAGAUAUCCUCAAGAGCAAAAAAUAAUAAUAAUAAAAGAUAACUUGACCAUUUUCCCAAGGCGCCCAUGUGCUCUAGCUGAUUGUUGGUGCUGACCACCGACAUUGGAUCGUUCACGAUGAUCUACGACUACUAGCUCUAGCUUCGCUCCUGUUGUUGCUCAGGACACCUGAACUUUUAUUUAUAGGCAACACAAUAUCCCCCGCCACGCACGUCUCAUGCUGCGUCGCGCCCGUCUAUGCACGGGAACGUUUUAUACGCGUCGUGGUAGGAUCAGACUCAAGCCUCAUCGUGAACGCAGCAUGAGUCCGGCUGUUAGAAGAUGCAUCAAGUUGCUUGCUACUCAAGCUUACAAGGGAAACAUGAUCAUGCAACUAAGGAAACAAUCUAAACUGACAUGACGAAACAUUCGCUGCAUAGGAUUAGCUCUUUCAUUUCACCCCUCUAAUCCUGCUGCACUUGGACUACUCCCAGCUUCUCACGUAGCUCUGUAAACUUGACGCGCCCAAGAGCUUUGGUCAGAAUAUCUGCCAACUGCUCAUUGGUGCCCACAUGCUCUAUGUCGACUUCUCCUCUUUCAACACAAUCACGUACAAAGUGAUAGCACACAUCGAUAUGCUUGCUCCUAUCAUGGUGAACUGGAUUCUUGCUCAAUGCAAUCGCUGAUUUGCAGUGUAAUCAACUUCAGCCAAGCAUAAGGAGGAGACUCCGCAGGGGUUUGGCAAGGCUUGAGCGGAUCAAACUAGGAGACAGUGGCAACAGGUUCUUCAAUGACGCCUUCAAGAAGAAGACUCGUCACUAGCCCAGACGGAUCUGAGCUGGGCUUUCGCCCAAAACGCUUUGCCAAAGCUCUUGUUGACCCAUAAGAAACAGAGAGAGGCACAUCAACAAAUUCGUCCACGCCUGGACCGAAGAGGGUGGGGCGCUUGCCAGCUGCCGCCACACAGAACGGAGCCGUUUCCGGACUCGCCCGCAACAGUGCGAGGCAUGCACCAACAAUCAUCCACGCCUGGACGCCGGAGGUACUGGGGCCUUGCCGGCCGCUGCCACACCACGCGGAGCCAUUCUCGGACUCGCCCGCGACAGUGGAAGGCGCGUGCCGACAAGCGAUAACACUAGAUGAAGGGAGGUUGCUGGCCGCCUCCAUGCCGCGUGGAGCCGUUCUCGGACUCGCCCGCGAUAGUGGAAGACGCGCACCAGCCAGCGUGUGACAGUCGCCGCCACACCGUGCGGAGCCGCUCCCGGACUCGCCCGCAACGGUGGGAGGCGCGCACCGGCACGAUGCCCACGGACGCAGCCCCACCGCCGGCAAGCCCGCAGCCAAACAAUAAGCGCCGUGCAGCUGCUAGGUCGUGCAAAACAAGAGCGAAGAAGAGUGGGCAUGCUGCCCCGCCGCCGGCUUGCCCGUGCCUUGGCUUGGUUGGGAGAGUCCUUAGUCUUUUUGUCCAGCCAUGUGGGUCAAGCUUGGUGAAAAUGCUUCUUAAGUCUUAACAGUGGUUGGGGUGGGUUUUCAGAUGGAUCAAGAGUUGGAGAAGGUGUUUACCUAGUAUGAGGAACCGAUCGAAGUUUCAUCAAGCGAAGAGUUGAAGGACUAUGGACAGACUUUUUGAUUUUUUAAACAGGUAUCAUAUUAUGCUCCAGACGAAGUAAUUACCAAUGAGAUGACAGCCUGAUUAAAAAAGAUUCUAUCAAGAGAUAAUGUGAGUAUUAUUUACCUAUUAAUAUUAUGAUCCCAGUGUUAGUGGUCUUGCUUCCUGCAACAGCCAUGCUGAGGUUACUAAUUUUGCACUCAAAUGAAGAAAACAUAUGCUUGAAACAUAAAUAUUUUAGAGAUAGCACUGCACUACAGAUAUGCGGUGAAAAUGACGAUUUGCCUUGAUACCGAGCUGUCAAUUAUUAUGUACAAAGAUUUUUCAUAAGUCGGGCAUAUGUAAGCAUGCUUUUUUGUCUGUAUGUACUGAUAAUAAUACUAAGUGCACCGGUUGCUUUCACUUAGCCGGCUUAUAGUCGUAUACAUAAGUAUUUUAUAUCGUGCUAUAGUCCUAACAUGUCCAACUAAUUUUGUCCAAACAGUCAAUACCACCACUCCACCAGUGGUAGCCGGGACGAGGUCUAACGUUAAGUCUUUGUUAAUCAGUUUCCUGACUCCUCCAACAGACCAACACGGCUCAGUGCCCAGUCUAAUCUGGCAACCGUACGUUAUUAUUUUAGAUAGAAUUAUUUAUCACUCGAGUAGAGCCAAACUUGUCACUGGCACACGUUCGGGCAUUAGCACCGAUCGGGAAGGGACUGUUGCUCCGGUUCUCGAGCCGGUGCUGCCCUUCCGGGACUAAAGGCCCACCCUUUAGUCCCGGUUCGGGCAACCGGGGCCUUUAACACCGGUCGGUAAUAAAGGGUUUCUUUUUUUUUGGUUCACUUCUUUGGUUCUGUUUAUUGUUUUUAUAUAAUAUAUAAUAAUAGGUUUUUGCUGAUACAAUAAUAUAUUUAUAUUACACGCAUAUUAAGCAUAUAUAAAUGAAAAUUAUAGGCUUAGCUUAAUAAUUAAGCUUUGCCUAUAAUAAAAUGAAUAGACCACAUCAAAAAUUAAAUAGAUAUGUAAAAAGCUUUAUAUAUAUAUAGUUUUAUAUGUACAAAAUUCGUAACACAUAUAUACAUAGAGUUUUUUCUCCCAAUGUCUACAAACGAUACAAAUGAUCAUCGUUGUUUGGAAUAAGAGUGAAAGUUGCCGUUGAAGUGAAACUCGCCGUUUGAAUUGAUCACUUGGUCGCGGAGAAAUCCUGCUAUCGUCUCUUGGAUAGCUUUGAUUCGGUCUUGUUGUAGGACCUUUUCCCUCAGCCAUUCCGUCUUUAAUUUAAAAUAAAUAAAAAAGGUAUUAGUUAUCUAAGUUAUUCAAUAUAAUUCAGGAGAUAAUAAAACGAGACAUGUAACGUACUCUGAGCGUCUCUGUGGGUGUUUGAUUGACUUGUGCCAUCAUGAAUUUGCACACGUAAUAUGCACAUAGAUUGUUCCCCCCUUCUUGUCUUAAACACCACUGUACGAUAUAUAUAUAUAUAAAAAUAUUCACGACCACGACAAUAAGAAGGCUAAAAGUUAGCGAAAGUUUGUUAGCUAGUAGAACUUACUUGUGGAUGUAUUAUGUUAAGCGGCGCUUUACAUCCACUGAGAUGUUCACGGUCAAUGAAUCUUUUCCAAACCCUAUACACAGCCAUUGUGGAUCGUGAACUAAUAAUUACAGAGUCAUAUUAUGAUAUUUUUGUAGCUGAGAUCGACAUUACGUACCUUUGAAUAAUGUUUACCAUUUAUUGAUAAUUUUCUUGUGGUUUUCUCAUUGAGUCAAAGAUUAUCAACCGGUUCUUGGGAAUUUCAAUGACCAUGAGUAUCCAGUGAAAGCUGUUUACAUACACAUAUAUAUAUAGUCAGUCCUAUAAUGUAAAAUAAAAUAUGCAUGCACUUAAUAACUAUAUAACUCACUCGAAGUUGAAGAGGAAGAGUAUUUUUUGUUUUUCUUUUUGGUUCACAAAGAACCUCAUAAGAUUGGUGCAGACUUCUGUCUCAGCAUAUUGUCUAUCUUACGGUCUUCUUUAUGCCACCGCAACAACUUUGCAUUGUCCUUAUUUCUGAACAGACGUUUUAAUCGUGGUAUUAUAGGAGCAUACCACAUAACCUUGGCUGGAAUUUUCUUCCUAUGACGUUCUUCACCCUCAACAUCGCCAUGAUCAUCUCGUCUAAUCUUAUACCGUGAUGCCUUACAUACUGGACAUGCAUCCAAAUUCUCGUAUUCCUCCCCACGGUAGAGGAUGCAGUCAUUAGGACAUGCGUGUAUCUUCUGGAUUUCUAAUCCCAAAGGGCAGACAACCUGUUUUGCUUCAUACGUAGUGGUGGGCAAUUCGUUGCCUUUCGGAAGCAUCUUUUUUAUGAUCUUCAAUAACUGCCCAAAUGCCUUGUCAGAUGUACCAUUCUUUGCCUUCCAUUGCAGCAAUUCUAGUGUGGUACCCAGUUUUUUUUGCCCCUCUUCAGCGGUGGGAUAUAGCGAUUUCCUGUGGUCCUCUAGCAUGCGCUCGAACUUGGCUUUCUCUUUAUCACUUUCACAUUCUCUUUGUGCAUCACGGAUGGCAUCACCAAAAGCAUCAUCGCCCCGAUCAUCUUCUGCCGCCACCUCUUCUUCAUUAUCUCCCCCCAUUGCAACAUCAUUGAAGCCACCGUACUGAGCAAUAAUAUUGGCAUGAUCUAAUUCUUCUUCUUCUUCACCUUCAUCCAUUAUAAUCCCGCUUUCUCCAUGUUUGGUCCAACAAAUAUAGUUUGGUACGAAACCAGACUUUAAUAAGUGUGAAUGAAGAGUUCUUGAGUUAGAAUAUUACGUCAAAUUCUUGCACACGGCACAUGGACAGCACAUGAAACCGUCCCUCUUAUUUGACUCGGCCACACUUAAGAAAUAGUGCACGCCAUUAAUGAACUCUUCGAAGCGCCGAUCGGCGUUAUACAUCCAAUUACGUGUUACCAUCUGCAUUAAAUAUAACAUAUAUAUUAUGAAAACCAUGCACACAUAUAGUUUCUCAUCUUAUUGCACAACAUGUCUAAGAUACAUAGUUGAUUAAUUUACGAAAGCUUGGCUACAACAAAUACAAUCGCAACUAGCACUAAAAAAACCAAAACUAAAAUGCACUUAAGCAACAUAAUUAGUUCGCGUCCGAUCCCAACUAUAAUAGAUAGAUCAUUCGCUUCAUCAACAUCAUUGAACUUCUUUCGUCGGCUCACUGCCUCACCACCUUCAGCCUCAACCACCUGUGCAAAAGAUUUCUUAAUGUGUUCAAUGUAUUCUUCCUUCCAGUACCAACCUGUACAUCCGCCGGUACCGUCCCACUGAAAUUAAAAGAGAGAAUCAAAAGUUUCAUUAAUAUCAUUUAAAAAAAUAUGCACAUAUAUAAGCAAAGGUCUGGAAAUAACUCACAUUACGAUCUGGACACUUGUACCCUUGUUUACUCCCUCUUUCGACACUUUGUACUCCAUCAAAAUCUUCUGCCCACACUUGCCACAAGUAAUGAGAGGGAGUUCCGGACGGUAUCGCUUUUGAACCCGUUGAGAGACCGAAGACCCGGUCACGGUUGCCAUCUACUAUCCAUACUCAAUUUUUAAACAAUUAUAAAUUCCACAUUUACUAGUAAACAUGUAUGAUAUAAUGGACAUUAUAUGUAGUAAUAAAAAUAAAUCAAGUGAUAUUAACAAACCAAUUAAUUUGAACUAUCCUACUUUCUAAGAUCAUAAAAAUAUACUAUAAUUCAUUCUUGCAAACUACAUUAAAACUAGGUCAACCAUAAAAUAUGAUAUAUAUAUAUAUAUACUAAUUCAUGUGAAUGAUUCAAAAUAACAAAGUGGAUUUGAGCUAAAAAAUGAUGGGAACAUCACAAGCCAAAAACAACAUAAAAAGACAAGAAAGGCUGAAGUUAGUCACCUCCAAGCACGAAGAGACGAUGACGGAGUCGAAGAAGAUCAACGAUGGGCGUUGGAGAUGAAGAACAAAUGAAGAACAAGAAAGAAGAAGCUCCAAGAACAACAAUGGUGCUCUCGGUUUCAAAUGGACAGAGGGGAGGAGGGAGCCGGCCUAUAAACCGGACCUUUAGCACCGGUUCAGGGCAAAAACCGGUGCUAAAGGGUUUUCCUCGGCCCGUGGCUCUGGCCGGUGCUAAAGGGGUCUUUAACCCAGGGCCGCAAAAAGGCCGAGGUUUUUGGCCAUUUUGAGCAUCGACCAAUGCCUCAUUCUGUAGUAGUGUGUAAGAAAACAAAUCCAUGGGACUACAUGACUAUAAUGUGUCCUAUGCAACUGUCUUUUAGAAGAAUCAGCGGGGCAUCUCUUCAUCCACUGCUCCUUUGCUUCGAUCUGCUUGCUAGGCUGGUUACAAGUUCAAGUAAUCUUUGAAGAUGCUCACAAACGUAGGGUUGACGUGAGUGUACGUGCAUUGUUAGUAUUUGAGAGUCUUUUUUCAAGUAAUCUUUGCUGGGCUCCGUGCCGCUGCAGUUGUAGAUGGAGCAAAGGGCUCGGUUCCGGCGGCUAAUCGUGAAGGCGCGCUCGGCGAUGAUGCUGAUGGCCAAUACGUUGAAGUCGACGCGGCAGACGCCAUCGUCGCCGGUGGUGAGCCCUGGUGUGGGAAGCAAUGAAGGAGUUGUUGGCGUAGUCGAUGCCGAGGACGUUGAUAUUGUAAUCACCAAUGUUCAGAUGAAUAAAGAAUAGUCACUAUCUUAUGU